RNA transcript from Eurytemora carolleeae, 4795 nucleotides. It is a transcript of the gene named liprin-alpha-1, with no coding region annotated. The record is from RefSeq and is a predicted model, not a curated record. The transcript has 32 exons. NCBI's taxonomy places the organism in Eukaryota, Metazoa, Arthropoda, Copepoda, Calanoida, Temoridae.
AAGAAGGGAAUUAGCUAAUUAGCUAUGAAAUGAAACCAAAACAACUAUGGAAACAUUAUUUAUAAAAUGUGAUGUUUAAAACGUGAAUAUCCCCUCCAGUGGGUUAAGUGUGAAAAAAUUUAAUUUUUAAUUUAAGUGUGUGAAUCCUCCGGGGUUCAUUAUAUAGGCCUAAUCAUGUGGAACAUGAUGUGUGACGUGAUGCCGACGAUCUCGGAGGACUCAAUUUCCCAGCGCUCGUCGCAAUUCGGCGACGACGCAAACUUCGAGCAGCUGAUGGUCUCUAUGCUCGACGAGCGCGACAAGCUGGUGGACUCGUUAAAGAACGAGCAGGAGAAGACGAGCGACUACGAGAUCCGUGUGAAGGAGUUGGAGAAGGAGAGAGAUUCAUUAAACCGACAACUUAAUCAGAAUUUACCACAGGAGUUUGCAAGUUUAACCAAGGAGUUGAACCAGGCUAGGGAGCUAGUCUUAGAGAAGGAUGAAGAAAUAUCAGAACUUAAGGCUGAAAGGAAUAAUACCAGAUUACUCCUGGAACACCUGGAGUGCUUAGUUUCUAGACAUGAACGAUCCCUUAGAAUGACAGUCGUUAAACGUCAGACUGCGUCCCAAUCUGGCGUAUCAAGUGAAGUGGAAGUUCUUAAAGCAUUGAAAUCUCUCUUUGAACACCACAAAGCUUUAGAUGAGAAGGUGCGUGAGAGAUUGCGUGUAGCUCUGGAGAAAAAUGCUACUUUGGAGGAGGAGUGUAGUUCAGUAAGGGAAGAAUUAAGCCGACAGAGACUAGGGUUUAUUGAGGAGGAGGAGAAGAAAGCAAAGGAAGGAUAUGAGGAGAGGAAAGGAGAAGACGGAGAGAAGAAAAUUAAUGGAACUCUGGACCCGGAGGUCCUUGAGUUAAGAAAGCAGCUAGAGAAGCAGAGUAACGACCUUGGGAACGCAACGAGGUUGGUCGGAGAGUUGAGGGGGAAGGUGACCGACCUCGAGGACAAACUGAUCGGGAACAACAAGGAGCUCCACGGAGCACAGGACCUCAAUCAGGCUCUACAGCAUGAGUUCAAGGAGACAAUGGCUCAGAAAGAAGACCAGGAAGAGAGAAUUGCAACCUUAGAGAAGAGAUAUCUAAACAGUCAGAGGGAAGCAACUCAGCUUCAUGAUAUCAACGCUAGGCUAGAACAGGAGAUUAAGAACAAGGAGGAACAAAUUUGUCUCUACCAGGAGAAGAUAAAAGCAAUCAACGAGAAGCUUGAUAUCGCAGAACAGAAGCUAAUAGAGUACGCUUCCAUGCCAGAUAUUGAGGAGCAGCUCAAGGAUAGAAUGGAAGCUCUAGCAGCUGCUCAGGAACGGCAGGGAUCUGCAGAGGAGCAUGUUAGCCUUCUGGAGAAUUCCUUGGAAGAGAAAACAUCUGAGCUCUCCAGGUUGUCCCAGAGACUGAAAAUGAAUGAGGAACACAACCAACGUCUGUCCGCUACCGUAGACAAACUUCUUACCGAGAGUAACGAGAGGUUACAGGUUCACCUGAAGGAGAGAAUGCAUGCUCUAGAGGAGAAGAAUAAUCUGACUAACGAGCUGACCGCUACAAGGAAGAAAUUAGAGGAUUUAGCAAAUAUCAAGGGUGAGACUACCAAGGAACUACAGAAGAGUAGACUUGAGACAGAAAACCUUAAGAGACAGAUUCUACAACAGGAGAUUUCAUUUAAUAUUCAGAAAACAGAGGCUUUAACCAGAAAUCUGUCUCCUGGAAACCAUGAAGGGGAUAGAAACAAGCAGCAAGAUGAGAGUCUCCGUGGUGAAUCAUCUAGUAGACUGGGGAGCAUGCCGAGGGGAACCUCAUUAAACAUGAAAAACCUCGAGGACAGCUGGGGAUACGACAACAUGGACGGGGACCCGGAGGACAGUGAGUCUGUGAUGACAGAUUUGCUGUCCCCAGGGGGACAGACAGAUGCACAGACCUUGGCGUGUAUGUUACAGGAGCAGCUGGAUGCUAUUAACAACGAGAUCCGGUUAAUUCAGGAGGAGAAGCAAUCCACAGAACAGAGGGCAGAGGAACUAGAGUCUAGAGUAGGAAGUGUACAGGAUAUGCAUAUGCUGCUGCAGCAGGGUAGUGUAGGAGGUCCCUCCUCCACCUCCUGGGCAGGGCUGAGUGGUAUUCCUUCCCACCAUCUAGGUGUACCCCCUCAACCUCCCCCCAGAUCUCGUCUACAACCAAUGUAUGAUCCCCUCUCUUCUCCUACAUUAUCAGGGAGAACCACACCCAAGACCCCUAUGCUACAAGGACGCGGUGAUCCUUACGCACACAAAUACCACACAAUGCAUCUGGCCACGCCUAGUCAAGAGUUUAAUAGAGAAGAGGCGGAGAAGCAGAGAAGAAUGAUGGAAGGAUCUCCACCCACUCCUAGGUACGGGUCACUCAGGUUGGCACAGUUAUCAGCUAGUCAAGAAGAGCUUAGACGGCGGACUCCUUUAUCUAUGGCAAGUCCUGCGGGUACCAUAACCCCUGUAUCCUCAUUAUGUGGUAGUGAGACUCCCACAGCCCUAUCACCAGGGUUUGAGGGAGGGUUUAUCCCCAUCUCUCCCUCGGGAGAUGGUGGCUUUCUGUCUUCCCGUACCACACCGGCAGUCAUUAAUGACCAUAUAAGAUCCAGUUUGGAGGAAAGUUCUCAUUCUACCCCUUCCCCUUUAUCCUCAGCAGCUUCUAGUCAGGAUUCCUUGCAUAUAUCCCAGCUGGCUGCUCAAGAGCGUGCUGUGGCUGCUGCGAAGAAAAAAGGAAUCAAGUCAUCGCUCGGACGGAUCUUUGGGAAGAAAGAUAAAGGUUUGAAGAACCGUGGUGGAGGGUUUGUAACUGCCCCAAUGUCUGCAGGAGGUCAUGCCACCUAUAUGGGAGAGUCAGAGAUGGUUCAAAGUGACAGUAUGGGUGGCCUUGGAGGUUUGGCGGGCAAGGGAGACUUUGACAGAAGAAAAAAGAAAAAGCAUGAGCUUCUUGAAGAGGCAAUGAAGGCUGGCACACCGUUUGCAUUAUGGAAUGGACCAACUAUUGUGGCCUGGCUUGAACUAUGGGUUGGGAUGCCUGCAUGGUAUGUGGCGGCAUGUCGAGCCAACGUAAAGUCUGGUGCCAUUAUGUCAGCUUUAUCUGAUACUGAGAUACAGAGAGAGAUCGGUAUCAGCAAUCCUCUUCAUCGACUUAAACUACGCCUUGCAAUACAGGAAAUGGUAUCCCUAACCUCCCCUUCAGCUCCUGCUACUAGUAGAACUACCCUGGCCUACGGUGAUAUGAACCAUGAAUGGAUUGGUAACGAUUGGUUACCUUCCUUGGGUUUAUCACAGUACAGGACUACCUUCAUGGAGUGCUUAGUGGACGCAAGGAUGCUGGAUCAUUUAACGAAGAAAGAUCUGAGAGUCCAGUUAAAACUGGUUGAUAGUUUUCACAGAACCAGUUUAAUGUUCGGAAUAAAGUGCCUGAAACUCAUCAAUUUUGAUCGUGACCAGUUAACAGACAGGCGGAGACAAGCUGAGGCAGAUAUUAAGGAUGUAAUUGUUUGGAGCACAGAUAGAGUGAUGAGAUGGGUAGUUGGGGUCGGAUUAAAGGACUAUGCGAGUAACUUGGUUGAGUCCGGGGUUCACGGUGGUUUGAUAGCUCUUGAUUGUUCCUUCUCAUGGCAAAGUAUGGCUCUAGCCUUACAGAUACCAACCCAGAAUACUGGAGCUAGGCAGAUACUGGAGAGAGAGUUUAAUACUCUUAUACAGGUUGGAACAGAUCGGCAGCUGAUGGAGGACGACGACUCUGUUUCCUGACAAGGAGUCUCCCUCCCUUCCGGAGAGGAACGGGAGUCUUGAAUCUACAAAUUGACCAGAAGUCAUUACGUUGUUCAGACGUUAUUUAUUGACAUUUUUAAGAUUUAUAUUACUGACGUUUUUAAACGUUAGUUACUGCGUUUUUAAAACGUUUAUUACUCACGUUUUACAGACGUGAAUUACUCACGUUUUACAGACGUUAAUUACUAAUGUUUUUAAGACGUUCAUUACCGAAGUUUUAAAGACGUUAAUUACUGACGUUUUUCAAACGUCAACAAGAACUUUGUUAUUGAGAUAUGUCUCCCCUUUGUAUACGCUUUAUAAUCAGGCGAAACUGAGGGUGGUUUCUUCUUGCAUUUAAACAAAAUUUGCGAUUAGGAAACUGUUUCUUUAUCAGUACUCACUUAGUUGCGUAAAACUAUUUUCAACUUUUAAUUAAUAUCGUAAAAGAAUUCGAAUGAACUUAAACCUUGAUAUUUGUUUUAUGAUCAUGUAAAGGUUUAGAUUUUACAUGAUUUUCUUAUUGUUUACUGUACCAAAACUUCUGUAACUAUGAAUUGCACAUUUGCACAUGUCUCUUGUAAAUAUCAGAGUUUACAAGAGAAAAUAAUCAUCGAUUAGUCGGUCAGAUUGCCAUUUUGCACAGAAUAUGUAACAAGAAACAUGUAAACAAUUUGUCUCAAUUGUAAAUAUAUCCAUUAUUCUUACCCCAUCUUAUUAUCUACGUUUCUCUUCGUGGUAAAGUACCCACUCUAUGUAUUUAUUUAUUUAGAAAUCAAACCAGAUUUAUUCAAGGCGACAUGGGUCAUAUUUUAAAAAUUUCGAAUGGCCUUAGUACUUAGUAAUUUUUUUAUUUAAACUGGCUUGACUAACAUCUGCUCGUCGCUCUGUGUCGCCUUUUAUUAAGAGAAUUAUUUUUAUUUCACACAAUUUUCUAUUUCAAUUAAACGGAUUCUUAUUUAGCUUUGAACUUUUUACAAAAUUUAGAAAUUUAGGAUUAAUCAAAUUUGAA